This 428-nucleotide ribosomal RNA is filed under the name uncultured bacterium. RNAcentral describes it as "bacterial SSU rRNA". It matches the Rfam family "Bacterial small subunit ribosomal RNA", at positions 355 to 774 of the family's 1533-position model. The record is from RNAcentral.
CGGGGAAUUUUGCGCAAUGGGGGAAACCCUGACGCAGCAACGCCGCGUGAGUGAUGAAGGCCUUCGGGUCGUAAAGCUCUGUCAGAGGGGAAGAAAUGCAGGGGUGCUAAUAUCAUCUUUGCUUGACGGUACCCUCAAAGGAAGCACCGGCUAACUCCGUGCCAGCAGCCGCGGUAAUACGGAGGGUGCGAGCGUUGUUCGGAAUUAUUGGGCGUAAAGCGCGUGGAGGCGGUUUGGUAAGUCUGAUGUGAAAGCCCCCGGCUCAAACCGGGAAGUUGAUUGGGAACUGUCAGACUUGAAGACGGGAGAGGGUAGUGGAAUUCCUAGUGUAGGAGUGAAAUCCGUAGAUAUUAGGAGGAACACCGGUGGCGAAGGCGGCUACCUGGACCGAUAUUGACGCUGAGACGCGAAAGCGUGGGGAGCAAACA